Molecule: ribosomal RNA, 253 nt
Filed under: uncultured bacterium
Lineage: Bacteria
Description: partial 16S ribosomal RNA
Rfam family: Bacterial small subunit ribosomal RNA
Source: RNAcentral
UACGAAGGGGGCAGGCGUUGUUCGGAAUUACUGGGCAUAAAGGGUGCGUAGGUGGCUUGCUAAGUCAGUGGUGAAAUCGUCCGGCCCAACCGGACGCCUGCCAAUGAUACUGGUGAGCUCGAGUGCGUGAGGGGUGGGGGGAACGAGCAGUGUAGCGGUGAAAUGCGUAGAUAUUGCUCGGAAGGCCAAAGCCGAAGGGACCCCACUGGUACGUAACUGACACUGAGGCACGAAAGCGUGGGGAGCAAACAGG